AUUGAACGCUGGCGGCAUGCUUUACACAUGCAAGUCGAACGGCAGCGCGGGCUUCGGCCUGGCGGCGAGUGGCGAACGGGUGAGUAAUACAUCGGAACGUGCCCAGUAGUGGGGGAUAGCUCGGCGAAAGCCGGAUUAAUACCGCAUACGACCUGAGGGUGAAAGCGGGGGAUCUUCGGACCUCGCGCUAUUGGAGCGGCCGAUGGCAGAUUAGCUAGUUGGUGGGGUAAAGGCCUACCAAGGCGACGAUCUGUAGCUGGUCUGAGAGGACGACCAGCCACACUGGGACUGAGACACGGCCCAGACUCCUACGGGAGGCAGCAGUGGGGAAUUUUGGACAAUGGGCGAAAGCCUGAUCCAGCAAUGCCGCGUGUGUGAUGAAGGCCUUCGGGUUGUAAAGCACUUUUGGCGGGAACGAAAAGGACUGUGCCAAUACCACGGUUGGAUGACGGUACCCGCAGAAUAAGCACCGGCUAACUACGUG
Molecule: ribosomal RNA, 484 nt
Filed under: uncultured bacterium
Lineage: Bacteria
Description: partial 16S ribosomal RNA
Rfam family: Bacterial small subunit ribosomal RNA
Source: RNAcentral